AAAAAAUAAAAUAAAACUAACAUGUCUAUUUGUUUCAAUCAAUGAGUUUAAAAUGAUAUUUUAAUCGACUAUUGAUACUAGUAGGUAAUAGCAAUCAUCAUCUUUUUGAAAUAAUCAAGUAAAAAACAAAGGUUUAAAAUAAUAUUAAAUGUAACAAUUUGUUUUAAAAACCUAAGAAACAAUAACAAUCAAACAAACAGCAAACAGAGAAUACGAUAAAAUCCAGCUGAGCAGUUUCAUCAGGACAAGAACAUUUGUCCAUAGGAAGGUUGGUUAUUUCAAUCAAAUUAUUGUUUUUUUUUAAGGGGAUUGAUGUUUUGAAGCUAUA
Molecule: non-coding RNA, 328 nt
Organism: Biomphalaria pfeifferi
Lineage: Eukaryota; Metazoa; Mollusca; Gastropoda; Planorbidae
Source: the annotation of a GenBank genome assembly